Molecule: ribosomal RNA, 233 nt
Filed under: uncultured bacterium
Lineage: Bacteria
Description: partial 16S ribosomal RNA
Rfam family: Bacterial small subunit ribosomal RNA
Source: RNAcentral
GUGAGGAACACGUGAGAAACCUGCCCCAGACUUUGGGAUAACAAAUGGAAACGUUUGCUAAUACCAAAUAACGUCGGAGAGUCACAUGACUUUCUGACGAAAGGAAUUCCGAUUCGAGAGGGUCUCGCGGCCUAUCAGCUUGUUGGUGGGGUAAUGGCCUACCAAGGCAACGACGGAUAGCUGGUCUGAGAGGAUGAUCAGCCACACUGGGACUGAGACACGGCCCAGACUCC